Molecule: ribosomal RNA, 415 nt
Filed under: uncultured bacterium
Lineage: Bacteria
Description: bacterial SSU rRNA
Rfam family: Bacterial small subunit ribosomal RNA
Source: RNAcentral
AUUGAACGCUGGCGGCAUGCCUUACACAUGCAAGUCGAACGGCAGCACGGGAGCAAUCCUGGUGGCGAGUGGCGAACGGGUGAGUAAUAUAUCGGAACGUGCCCAGUAGUGGGGGAUAGCCCGGCGAAAGCCGGAUUAAUACCGCAUACGACCUACGGGUGAAAGCGGGGAUCGCAAGACCUCGCGCUAUUGGAGCGGCCGAUAUCAGAUUAGCUAGUUGGCGGGGUAAAAGCCCACCAAGGCGACGAUCUGUAGCUGGUCUGAGAGGACGACCAGCCACACUGGGACUGAGACACGGCCCAGACUCCUACGGGAGGCAGCAGUGAGGAAUCUUGCGCAAUGGGCGAAAGCCUGACGCAGCGACGCCGCGUGGAGGACGAAGGUCUUCGGAUCGUAAACUCCUGUCAAGUGGGAA